Molecule: ribosomal RNA, 253 nt
Filed under: [Lactobacillus] rogosae
Lineage: Bacteria; Bacillati; Bacillota; Clostridia; Lachnospirales; Lachnospiraceae
Description: Lactobacillus rogosae partial 16S ribosomal RNA
Rfam family: Bacterial small subunit ribosomal RNA
Source: RNAcentral
UACGUAUGGAGCAAGCGUUAUCCGGAUUUACUGGGUGUAAAGGGAGUGUAGGUGGCCAGGCAAGUCAGAAGUGAAAGCUCGGGGCUCAACCCCGGGACUGCUUUUGAAACUGCAGGGCUAGAGUGCAGGAGGGGCAAGUGGAAUUCCUAGUGUAGCGGUGAAAUGCGUAGAUAUUAGGAGGAACACCAGUGGCGAAGGCGGCUUGCUGGACUGUAACUGACACUGAGGCUCGAAAGCGUGGGGAGCAAACAGG